AAUACCGCAUGAUGUCGCAAGACCAAAGUGGGGGACCUUARGGCCUCACGCCAUGAGAUGAACCCAGAUGAGAUUAGCUAGUAGGUGCGGUAAUGGCGUACCUAGGCGACGAUCUCUAGCUGGUCUGAGAGGAUGACCAGCCACACUGGAACUGAGAGACGGUCCAGACUCCUACGGGAGGCAGCAGUGGGGAAUAUUGCACAAUGGGCGGAAGCCUGAUGCAGCCAUGCCGCGUGUGUGAAGAAGGCCUUAGGGUUGUAAAGCACUUUCAGCGGGGAGGAAGGCGGUAAGAGUAAUAUGCUUAUCRAUUGACGUUACCCGCAAAAGAAGCACCGGCUAACUCCGUGCCAGCAGCCGCGGUAAUACGGAGGGUGCGAGCGUUAAUCGGAAUAACUGGGCGUAAAGRGCAUGUAGGCGGUAAGUUAAGUCAGAUGUGAAAUCCCCGAGCUUAACUUGGGAACGGCAUUUGAGACUGGCUGGCUAGAGUUUUGUAGAGGGGGGUAGAAUUCCAGGUGUAGCGGUGAAAUGCGUAGAGAUCUGGAGGAAUACCGGUGGCGAAGGCGGCCCCCUGGACAAGGACUGACGCUGAGGUGCGAAAGCGUGGGUAGCAAACAGGAUUAGAUACCCUGGUAGUCCACGCUGUAAACGAUGUCGAUUUGGAGGUUGUGACCUAUUGUUAUGG
RNAcentral lists this ribosomal RNA (682 nucleotides) under Candidatus Regiella insecticola. Its description in RNAcentral is "bacterial SSU rRNA". It matches the Rfam family "Bacterial small subunit ribosomal RNA", at positions 165 to 842 of the family's 1533-position model. The record is from RNAcentral. Lineage: Bacteria; Pseudomonadati; Pseudomonadota; Gammaproteobacteria; Enterobacterales; Enterobacteriaceae.